RNAcentral lists this ribosomal RNA (704 nucleotides) under Escherichia albertii. RNAcentral's name for it is "bacterial SSU rRNA". It matches the Rfam family "Bacterial small subunit ribosomal RNA", at positions 758 to 1462 of the family's 1533-position model. The record is from RNAcentral. Lineage: Bacteria; Pseudomonadati; Pseudomonadota; Gammaproteobacteria; Enterobacterales; Enterobacteriaceae.
AGCGUGGGGAGCAAACAGGAUUAGAUACCCCUGGUAGUCCACGCCGUAAAACGAUGUAGAAUUUGGAGGUUGUGCCCUUGAGGCGUGGCUUCCGGAGCUAAACGCGUUAAGUCGACCGCCUGGGGAGUACGGCCGCAAGGUUAAAACUCAAAUGAAUUGACGGGGGCCCGCACAAGCGGUGGAGCAUGUGGUUUAAUUCGAUGCAACGCGAAGAACCUUACCUGGUCUUGACAUCCACGGAAGUUUUCAGAGAUGAGAAUGUGCCUUCGGGAACCGUGAGACAGGUGCUGCAUGGCUGUCGUCAGCUCGUGUUGUGAAAUGUUGGGUUAAGUCCCGCAACGAGCGCAACCCUUAUCCUUUGUUGCCAGCGGUCCGGCCGGGAACUCAAAGGAGACUGCCAGUGAUAAACUGGAGGAAGGUGGGGAUGACGUCAAGUCAUCAUGGCCCUUACGACCAGGGCUACACACGUGCUACAAUGGCGCAUACAAAGAGAAGCGACCUCGCGAGAGCAAGCGGACCUCAUAAAGUGCGUCGUAGUCCGGAUUGGAGUCUGCAACUCGACUCCAUGAAGUCGGAAUCGCUUGUAAUCGUGGAUCAGAAUGCCACGGUGAAUACGUUCCCGGGCCUUGUCCACCGCCCGUCACACCAUGGGAGUGGGUUGCAAAAGAAGUAGGUAGCUUAACCUUCGGAGACGCUUACACACU